GCGGCCACUGCUAUCAAGUUCCGACUAAGCCAUGCGAGUCAAGGUAUCGUAAGAUGCCGGCAAACUGCUCAGUAACACGUGGAUAAUCUAACCUUGAGUAAGGGAUAACUUCGGGAAACUGAAGGUAAUACCUUAUAAUUGCUUAAAACUGGAAUGUUUUUGCGAUAAAAGUUACGACGCUCAAGGAUGAGUCUGCGACCUAUCAGGUAGUAGGUGGUGUAAUGGACCACCUAGCCUCAGACGGGUACGGGCCCUGGGAGGGGUAGCCCGGAGAUGGACUCUGAGACAUAAGUCCAGGCCCUACGGGGCGCAGCAGGCGCGAACACUGUGCAAUGCGCGAAAGCGCGACACGGGGAGCUUGAGUGUCUUGGCAUAGCCAAGACUUUUCUCAUUCCUAAAAAGCAUGAGGAAUAAGUGCUGGGUAAGACGGGUGCCAGCCGCCGCGGUAACACCCGCAGCACGAGUAGUGGUCACUUUUAUUGAGCCUAAAGCGUUCGUAGCCGGUUUUGUAAAUCUUCAGAUAAAGCCUGAAGCUUAACUCCAGAAAGUCUGAAGAGACUGCAAGACUUGAGAUCGGGUGAGGUUAAACGUACUUUCAGGGUAGGGGUAAAAUCCUGUAAUCCCGGAAGGACGACCAGUGGCGAAAGCGUUUAACUAGAACGAAUCUGACGGUAAGGAACGAAGGCUAGGGUAGCAAACCGGAUUAGAUACCCGGGUAGUCCUAGCUGUAAACAUUGCCCAUUUGAUGUUGCUUUUCCGUUGAGGGAAGGCAGUGUCGGAGCGAAGGUGUUAAAUGGGCCGCUUGGGAAGUAUGGUCGCAAGACUGAAACUUAA
RNAcentral lists this ribosomal RNA (834 nucleotides) under archaeon enrichment culture. RNAcentral's name for it is "bacterial SSU rRNA". It matches the Rfam family "Archaeal small subunit ribosomal RNA", at positions 20 to 859 of the family's 1478-position model. The record is from RNAcentral.